RNAcentral lists this ribosomal RNA (69 nucleotides) under Geobacillus sp. B4113_201601. RNAcentral's name for it is "partial 16S ribosomal RNA". Lineage: Bacteria; Bacillati; Bacillota; Bacilli; Caryophanales; Anoxybacillaceae. The record is from RNAcentral.
GAGUUUGAUCCUGGCUCAGGACGAACGCUGGCGGCGUGCCUAAUACAUGCAAGUCGAGCGGACCGAAUC